RNAcentral lists this long non-coding RNA (682 nucleotides) under Homo sapiens (human). Its description in RNAcentral is "PCBP1 antisense RNA 1". The record is from RNAcentral. Lineage: Eukaryota; Metazoa; Chordata; Mammalia; Primates; Hominidae.
AUUCGUCGCCAACGAGAAAUUGGGGUCGGCCCGAAAGCUCUAGAAUGCACCCCUCUUCCUCCCCGGGGCCUUCCACCUCCGCGAGUUUUAUGACUUAAAAAAGCCCACAGGCUGGUCUGAAGAGGAAGACAAACAUAAAGAUGAAGUGCUUAAUUCAAGGUCACACAAUGUCGGGGAUGGACCUCCAGAUUUCCUUACUGACCUGCAUUAUCUUGUGGAUACCUGAGUGAAUUCCACACCACCCAUUUUAUAGAUGAAACCACUGAGACAUGGAGCAAUUGACUGAGUAGUCACUGCCCCACCCCUGCCUGGAGCCUCACACAUGACUCGCCUCCUCUCAGUGACCACAGGAAAACAAGCUCAGGGCUCCCACUGAUUGUACAUUAUGAGACGGAGUCUUGCUAUGUUGCCCAGGCUGGUCUUGAACUCCUCACCUCAAGCGAUCCUCCCGUCUUGGCCUCCCAAGUGUCAGGAUUACGGGCAUGUGCUAUCACACCCAACCUGAUACAUUGCCUUUAUAAAUUUUUUUUUCUUUAUUCUAAAAACCAGAAAAAACAAAACUGGAUACAUGUGCAGAACAUGCAGGUUUGUUACAUAGCUGUACGUGUGCCAUGGUGGUUUGCUGCACCUAUUGACCUAUCCUGUAAGUUCCCUCCCCUCACCCCCACCCCCCAACAGCCCU